This 243-nucleotide ribosomal RNA is filed under the name uncultured bacterium. Its description in RNAcentral is "partial 16S ribosomal RNA". It matches the Rfam family "Bacterial small subunit ribosomal RNA", at positions 111 to 354 of the family's 1533-position model. The record is from RNAcentral.
UAACGCGUGAGGAACCUGCCUUCCAGAGGGGGACAACAGUUGGAAACGACUGCUAAUACCGCAUGACACAUGACCGUGGCAUCACGGACAUGUCAAAGAUUUAUCGCUGGAAGAUGGCCUCGCGUCUGAUUAGCUAGUAGGCGGGGUAACGGCCCACCUAGGCGACGAUCAGUAGCCGGACUGAGAGGUUGACCGGCCACAUUGGGACUGAGAUACGGCCCAGACUCCUACGGGAGGCAGCAG